RNAcentral lists this ribosomal RNA (312 nucleotides) under uncultured bacterium. RNAcentral describes it as "bacterial SSU rRNA". It matches the Rfam family "Bacterial small subunit ribosomal RNA", at positions 30 to 334 of the family's 1533-position model. The record is from RNAcentral.
AUUGAACGCUGGCGGCAGGCCUAACACAUGCAAGUCGAGCGGAAACACAAGGGAGCUUGCUCCUGAGGUGUCGAGCGGCGGACGGGUGAGUAAUGCUUGGGAAACUGCCCAGUCGUGGGGGACAACCAUUGGAAACGAUGGCUAAUACCGCAUACGCCCUACGGGGGAAAGAAGGGGACUCUUCGGAGCCUUUCGCGAUUGGAUGUGCCCAAGUGGGAUUAGCUAGUUGGUGAGGUAAGAGCUCACCAAGGCGACGAUCCCUAGCUGGUUUGAGAGGAUGAUCAGCCACACUGGAACUGAGACACGGUCCAG